AUAUUGGUCAAUGGACGCGAGUCUGAACCAGCCAAGUAGCGUGAAGGAUGACUGCCUAUGGGUUGUAAACUUCUUUUAUAUGGGAAUAAGUGGUCCACGUGUGGAUUUUUGUAUGUACCAUAUGAAUAAGGAUCGGCUAACUCCGUGCCAGCAGCCGCGGUAAUACGGAGGAUCCGAGCGUUAUCCGGAUUUAUUGGGUUUAAAGGGAGCGUAGGCGGAUUGUUAAGUCAGUUGUGAAAGUUUGCGGCUCAACCGUAAAAUUGCAGUUGAUACUGGCAGUCUUGAGUGCAGUAGAGGUGGGCGGAAUUCGUGGUGUAGCGGUGAAAUGCUU
This 331-nucleotide ribosomal RNA is filed under the name uncultured bacterium. RNAcentral describes it as "bacterial SSU rRNA". It matches the Rfam family "Bacterial small subunit ribosomal RNA", at positions 361 to 691 of the family's 1533-position model. The record is from RNAcentral.